Molecule: non-coding RNA, 2339 nt
Organism: Styela clava
Lineage: Eukaryota; Metazoa; Chordata; Ascidiacea; Stolidobranchia; Styelidae
Source: RefSeq, a predicted model, not a curated record
AGGGGUGACGAAAUACGGCAGUUGCGUGGUGUCAGGUUAGGGGUGACAGAAUACGGCCGAGGCGUGUCAGAAUGUAGAUGGCAAAAUAUGACUGAGCGUGUCAAAUUAUCGUAAAUCUGGCAGUAGGAUGCCGGUACGCAAUCAGUGACAGCGAGCUGGAUGAAAUCAAGGAUCACUAAAAUUUGAAAAUGAAAUUCGCCGAGUAUUUAUAUGUUUAUUGUAGCAAUUGAGCCUGUGUUAAGUACUACUAUCAACCUAAAUAAAGAUGUGAGGGUAUACCGGUAGUGACGCCAGGAAAUAUAUAUAGAAUUAAAUAGAAAUUAUUUAUUAAAUCGGCGAUGGCAAACAAACCUUGAAAAGGCUUAAAAGUGAAGAAACAAAUCUACCGAUAUAUGAUAUUGGCAUGAUUGAUAGUGGAGUGACGAUUGAUUGAUGUAGGUAGAAAGGGCUUUGCGGAGAAGGAAGAUAUUAUUAUUGCUGGUGGUCGAGUGACGAUUGGUCGAUGUAAAUGGAAAGGGCUUUGCAAAGAAGGACGAUAUUGUUACUGCUAGAGCAGGGGUGUCAAACAUGCGGCCCCAGAGAACUUCCAAUGCGGACCUCGAACGCUUAACAAUAAUUGUAAUAUUUUGGUUUUGUGAAGCUAGAAGAUAUUGUCGAUGUAAAUGAAAAGGUCUUUGUGAAGGUAGAAGAUAUUGUUACUGCUGGUGACGGAAAGAUAAGCUUAUUGUCAGCGUUCCUAAGUUAGAAAACAGGCUAAGCUGAAAAAGCCAAACUUACAUCUUUUAUUAUUCUCUGCUCUCUGUUUAUCUUGUCGGUCUAUUCCUUUUUCUGAAAGAAUCAGAUGACAUUUUUUAGACUUCACACUUUUGGAGAAAUGAGAGAUUGGAAGUGUCUAUCGCUUGUUAUCUAGAAUAAAAAUAAGAAAAUCGAUAUUCUUUGUUGUAAACAUUUUGAUGUCCUACAGAUUACAUGUCCUAGCAAUUGCAGAGGGCGAAUGAAAUCGUUUAUAAAAGUCUACAUAACGGGAGAGAGGAAGAAUUUUUUUUUGGCGUUCACUAACUAUCGGUAUAAAAGUGAUCGGCAAAUUUCGGCGCGUGACCCUCGAAAGACCAUCAUUUUCCCUCUCGCAAUCACAUUUAUUUCGUUAGCUGUCGACAGCUGUUGUACGGAGUUUAUUUUGUAGCAAAUAGCGAAAUCACAUGUCAAUUGUUCGAUUACUAGCCGAAUCGUUAGUUUUGAUGAACAGUUUAGUUUAUUUUGAUGUUUUGGAAAAUUAAUUUAAAUAAAAUAAAAUUUGGAAUAAAAAUGGCUAGGAAAGUUGGCGACGAUGUAUGACCAUUUUAAAGUGUUAAGACGUAAAAAUUCUUUGAGUCGAAUCCACUAGUUUUGUGGAUUUGCAUUCGAUAUCGAUUACAGUUGAUUUAUUAUUUUCAGUAUGUCAACAAAUGCACGAAACCGUACGAGAUAGUGGAAUCUCUCACCCACCUGCGUCAGCAGUACAAUCUUACUUUAUGGCUAAAUCUGCAAUUACAGAUACUUAUUGAAGAUCAAAUUGUCUUUGUUCAUUUCAGUCUGUAAAUAUUUCAAUGUGCUUUUACAUUAGACGCAGUUAUGUAAAACGCGAGGCAAGCUAAAAUACCUUCUUAGAAUUAAUGCGAUUUAUCUACAAAUGUUUGAUUAUCAAGAAGUUGGACGUUUUCAAACAGACUGAGGGGACGCAUCUGGCCACUUGUCAUUUAUGGGGUUUCGCGUUAAUUAAUCUGGAUAAUUACUAAAUUGGAAUCGCAUUGCUCGGUUUGGUCGUCGCAGCCUGUCUUAGUAUUCAAUGUAAACAAUGGUUUCAUGUCUGGUAUUAGAUUUAGUAUAUAUUUGUAAGUUUGCAGGUAGAAACAACAGUUUGGAUUUAAAUAGAUUUUGUUUGCAAUUAGAACAUAAUUUAGGACUCUAGGUUGGACUAACUGACAUAAUAGUGAUGCCUUUACAUCAUAUUUUAGACAUACAAGGUAAAUUGCUUCAAUCGAGGAUUAUACUUCGUUAGACUAUGUUACCUGGAGACUCAAAACAUUGAGUGUCGACGUGUUGAUUGAUAAUAAAGAAUUACACAAGUUCCAAGUUGGAUUCCUUCGUGGCAACAAUUCAAGACAGAGGGGGCAGUGUAUUGUAUUCAAUUUAGUUCUUUAAAUUAGUUUGAUAAAUUAUUCGAAAAAAAAUCAAUUUUGCUGCCUAUUUGUUACCUGGAUAGUAACUGGUUUUUGAAUUUGCAUGCUUUGUGACUUGUUGUAUGUGCCGUUCAUAAUAAAUAUAUGUUGUAAUUUAAUAGUAUUCUGAUACUGAGUUAG